This 1013-nucleotide long non-coding RNA is filed under the name Pogona vitticeps (central bearded dragon). Its description in RNAcentral is "lncRNA (ENSPVIG00000010907.1)". The record is from RNAcentral. Lineage: Eukaryota; Metazoa; Chordata; Lepidosauria; Squamata; Agamidae.
UGGCUUAUUUAGUCAUUUGAGCCCCCUCACCACUACUCCCCAUUCUCCUGUGCUUAGGCCUAUACUUCCCCAUGUUUUGUGUGACUUCGUGAUGACACAAAUCUACUGGGCCAUCUCCUGAACAAAUGUUUUGAUCAGAUGAAUUUGCAAGAUGAUUCAACAUAGCCUCCUACAAACAUCUGAAGACAGUGGGAGCGGUGGAGAAAGAGGAGGGAAAAAACCAGUGUUCGUACUGAAGGUAGACCAGACUUCUCUGAACCUUAAUUGUGUGUGGACUAAAAUCCCCAUAAGUGCGUACAAAAAGAAAUCAGUUUCAGGAAUGGAGACAGUUGUGAUGCUAUUUGAGAAGAUAUGGGUCCAGCUCAGGUGUAAUCCUAAGCAAUAGUUUUGAGCUACAGAAAAGAGUCUGUACAUGCUUUCUCGAUACUUACCUCCUCACAUCCUCUAUGCAUGGAAGAGGUGGGAGGGGGCAGGGAGACCACAGCUGCGCAGAUUCACUGGACCAGAUCAAAAGAAAAGCACUGUAGAAGAGAAACCAGGAAGAAGUCCAGCAACUGGCAGGAACCUAGAUGCCAGACUCUCCUUUAUUCCAGUGCAAAGCAGCCCUGAAAAUGCAGAUCUUAUCAAUGGCAAUCCACCACAAACACCAAUGCUCUUUUUUUGGCCAGAGCUGUUUUCAUUCAAGUUAUUGUUUCAGGACCGCAUCCAGAUUUUUGACCAGAAUCUAUAGAGAUCCCCAUCACUGUUGAUACGUAGCUGGAAGCUAUGUAUCAAGAUGUAUGUCUGGCUCAGUCUUCAACAAUUGUGAUGGAAACCCUGUCCAAUCUCCUUUGGAACUAGGAAGCAAGGUGAUCGGCUGGGUGGUACAUAUAGCCAGCCUAUCCUGGAGCCUGAAGGAAGAGGAGGCUAGAAGGAUGAAUGAAAGAGAAGGAAAGUGUAAUGGAAGAAAGAUGGUGUGUUGUUGGCCUGUUGGAUUGUAAUUGGAGAAGAACUGAAGCUUAGAUCUGUUCCCA